AUUGAACGCUGGCGGCAGGCCUAACGCAUGCAAGUCGAGCGGUAGAGAGGAGCUUGCUUCUCUUGAGAGCGGCGGACGGGUGAGUAAUGCCUAGGAAUCUGCCUGAUAGUGGGGGAUAACGUCCGGAAACGGACGCUAAUACCGCAUACGUCCUACGGGAGAAAGUGGGGGCUCUUCGGACCUCACGCUAUCAGAUGAGCCUAGGUCGGAUUAGCUAGUUGGUGGGGUAAAGGCUCACCAAGGCGACGAUCCGUAACUGGUCUGAGAGGAUGAUCAGUCACACUGGAACUGAGACACGGUCCAGACUCCUACGGGAGGCAGCAGUGGGGAAUAUUGGACAAUGGGCGAAAGCCUGAUCCAGCCAUGCCGCGUGUGUGAAGAAGGUCUUCGGAUUGUAAAGCACUUUAAGUUGGGAGGAAGGGUCGUUACCUAAUACGUGACGAUUUUGACGUUACCGACAGAAUAAGCGCCGGCUAACUCUGUGCCAGCCGCCGCCGUAA
RNAcentral lists this ribosomal RNA (500 nucleotides) under uncultured bacterium. RNAcentral's name for it is "partial 16S ribosomal RNA". It matches the Rfam family "Bacterial small subunit ribosomal RNA", at positions 30 to 523 of the family's 1533-position model. The record is from RNAcentral.